Molecule: non-coding RNA, 667 nt
Organism: Pogona vitticeps (central bearded dragon)
Lineage: Eukaryota; Metazoa; Chordata; Lepidosauria; Squamata; Agamidae
Source: RefSeq, a predicted model, not a curated record
AAGUAGCAAGAGAUCUGAAAAGGUCAUGGGGUUCUCAGUGAGAAGAGCACGGCCUUUAUAAGGGAGGGGUUGACAAGCCUCAAACGCACCAUGUAGGAUAGGUGGCCCCUCUGACUGAUGAAAUCAGAGAGACUAAGCUGAAGGGAACCUCUACAGCAGGGAUGAUGAACUUCUGGUUGUCCAAAUAUUGCUGACUUCAGCUCCCACCAGCCUCAGCUAGGAUGUCCAGUGAAUAAACAACAGAUGGUUCAAGCAGUAACCUUCAGAUGAAGAGGACCUUCUUUAAAGGAUGAAGAACGAAUGAGAUACAGAAUGGAUUUUAGUGCAGAUAACCCAGAUCUAAAUCUAAGAUCUGUUUGACAGAAGGGUAUGAGCAAAACUGCCAACGAAAAUAAUUAUGCCGCACUGUAAGUGAAGGGAAGUCAUUCGAAAAACCACACAGAGAUUGUACAUUAUGCUAAGCAGAACAAUGCAAGCCAGCACUUCCUUCUGAUCUAGAACAAACACUCCAUCAGAGACAAAGUGGCUGUACUUCAGGGCUGAACCAGAUAGUAUGGCUGACAUACCAUUAGAAGUGGUGGUCUCUUAAGAGGACAAGACUGUCUGGUCUAACAUGAACUUGCCUCAAUUUGUGGUGGUCAAAUUAACCUGAUUUUGUUUUGUUAUA